This 227-nucleotide long non-coding RNA is filed under the name Elaeis guineensis (African oil palm). RNAcentral's name for it is "long non-coding RNA (EGUI_LNC054896)". The record is from RNAcentral. Lineage: Eukaryota; Viridiplantae; Streptophyta; Magnoliopsida; Arecales; Arecaceae.
AAAGGGGUUCCACGAGAUUGCUGCCAUCAAAAGAUGAUUUUUCAUCUUUAAUCCUCUGGUUUGAAGGUUCUCAAGGUGGAGUUUUAGAUCUGGAAGCAAAAAAAAUUGAUCAAGGCCCUUCCAAAGGUAAAUCCCCUAGAUCUACAAGAUUGCUGAAUUUUCUUGUAGAUUGUUUUGUUCUAGAUGAUAGAUCAAAGAUCAAAACUUUUCUCAAACCCUUGUUGCUG